RNAcentral lists this long non-coding RNA (1156 nucleotides) under Nicotiana tabacum (common tobacco). Its description in RNAcentral is "long non-coding RNA (NTAB_LNC004190)". The record is from RNAcentral. Lineage: Eukaryota; Viridiplantae; Streptophyta; Magnoliopsida; Solanales; Solanaceae.
AAACCAUAAUCAGGGCCCACGCUAAAUUCGGUAAUAAAUGGGCUACUAUUGCCCGUUUACUAUCGGGUCGGACUGAUAAUGCUAUUAAGAACCACUGGAACUCUACUCUUAAACGUAAGUGUUGUUCCAUGUCUGAAGAUUUAAGCUUUGAAACUCCUCAACAGCCUUUGAAAAGAUCGUCUAGUGUAGGUCCUAGUACCAACUUUUCUUCUGGUAUGAAUCCGGGUAGUCCUUCCGGAUCCGACUUGAGUGAUUCGAGUCUUUCGGGGUUUCCCCAGUCUCUUGUUUAUAGACCUGUACCGCGAACCGGCGGGAUUUUCCCUCUUCCUCCUCUAGUUCAACCGAUCGAAACUGCUCCAUUUAUACCCGACCCACCCACUUCUCUUUGCCUCUCACUACCCGGAUCCGGCACCCGUGAAACCUCGAUUCAGACUGCACAACCAACCCAGCUAACUCAGCCUCCUCAAUCACCACCACCUCCUCCUUUGGCUUUGCCGCCGGUUGAUAAACCCGUACCACCACCAACAGCUGUUUUCAUGUCUCAGCUUCCUCAAACUAAGCAAAGUUAUGAUUUUUGUGUACCAGCUUUACCCAAAUCAGGAGAGAAACAGUUUUUUACUCCGGAGUUUUUGGGAGUUCUACAAGAUAUGAUAAGAAAGGAAGUAAGGAAUUACAUGUCUGGUGUUGAACACAAUGGGCUUUGCAUGCAAACUGAUGCAAUAAGAAAUGCAGUAGUUAAGCGUAUUGGCAUUAGCAAGAUUGAGUGACGAUUAUGUGAGAUUACUGUUGGGAAAUAUUCAUAUAACAAUGGCAGCAGCUCAGCGAAAUGAUGUUGAAAUGAGACGGAGGAAACAAUGCAAGAUCGUAGUGUUUUUUUUUGUUUUUUUGUUUUUUUUGCCUUUCGUGGAACUCCAAUAUCGGGUCUACACAAAAAUAAUUUUGCAGUAAUGUACAGAUGAGAGAGAGAGAGAGAGAGAGAGAGAGAGAGAGAGAGAGAGAGGAGAUAAAAGAAAUUGAAAAAAGUAUCUAUUGUUCUGAUUAGGAAAAUGCACUGAAAAAUCCAUUCCACCAACCAAGAAAAUUAAGAAAACAAUAUUGAGAAUCUCAAGUCCCGUUUCCACUGAUGAAACUGCUGCCUUAAAUUAAUAUUUGACUA